This 325-nucleotide ribosomal RNA is filed under the name uncultured eukaryote. RNAcentral describes it as "partial 18S ribosomal RNA". It matches the Rfam family "Eukaryotic small subunit ribosomal RNA", at positions 1470 to 1796 of the family's 1831-position model. The record is from RNAcentral.
CCCUUAGAUGUUCUGGGCCGCACGCGCGCUACACUGACUGGUGCAACAAGUGUCGCUCCUUGGCCGAUAGGCCUGGGCAAUCUUUGAACGCCAGUCGUGAUGGGGAUAGAUUCUUGCAAUUUUUGAUCUUCAACGAGGAAUUCCUAGUAAACGCGAGUCAUCAACUCGCAUUGAUUACGUCCCUGCCCUUUGUACACACCGCCCGUCGCACCUACCGAUUGAAUGGUCCGGUGAACCCUCCGGAUCGGCUCGCGCCAACGCAAGUUGAGCAAAGGCCGAGAAGUUGGGUAAACCUUACCAUUUAGAGGAGGGUGAAGUCGUAACA